This 79-nucleotide transfer RNA is filed under the name Candidatus Thorarchaeota archaeon. RNAcentral's name for it is "tRNA-Ser". The record is from RNAcentral. Lineage: Archaea; Promethearchaeati; Candidatus Thorarchaeota.
GCUGAGGUAGCCAAGCCUGGAUCACGGCGAUAGCCUGGAAAUCGGUUUGGCCAAAGUUCGAAUCUCAUCCUCAGCGCCA